GACGAACGCUGGCGGCGUGCUUAACACAUGCAAGUCGAACGGUGAAGCGCCUUCCUUUUUGGUGGGUGUGGAUGAGUGGCGAACUGGUGAGUAACACGUGAGUAACCUGCCCCCUUCUUCUGGAUAACCGCAUGAAAGUGUUGCUAAUACGGGAUAUUCUGUGUCUGUCGCAUGAUUGGUCUGGGAAAGAUAUUGUUUCUGUUGGGGAUGGGCUCGCGGCCUAUCAGCUUGUUGGUGGGGUGUUGGCCUACCAAGGCGGUGACGGGUAGCCGGCCUGAGAGGGUGGACGGACACACAGGGACGGAGACACGGGCAAGACUCCGACGGGAGGCAGCAGUGGGGAAUAUUGCACAAUGGGCGAAAGACUGAUGCAGCGACGCCGCGUGAGGGAUGGAGGCCUGCGGGUUGUGAACCUCUUUCGCCAGUGAAGCAGGCCUGCCUCGUUUGUGGGUGGGUUGACGGUAGCUGGAUAAGAAGCGCCGGCUAACUACGUG
This 494-nucleotide ribosomal RNA is filed under the name uncultured bacterium. Its description in RNAcentral is "partial 16S ribosomal RNA". It matches the Rfam family "Bacterial small subunit ribosomal RNA", at positions 28 to 507 of the family's 1533-position model. The record is from RNAcentral.